Molecule: ribosomal RNA, 432 nt
Filed under: uncultured Acetobacteraceae bacterium
Lineage: Bacteria; Pseudomonadati; Pseudomonadota; Alphaproteobacteria; Acetobacterales; Acetobacteraceae
Description: partial 16S ribosomal RNA
Rfam family: Bacterial small subunit ribosomal RNA
Source: RNAcentral
CCUACGGGAGGCAGCAGUGGGGAAUAUUGGACAAUGGGCGCAAGCCUGAUCCAGCAAUGCCGCGUGGGUGAAGAAGGUCUUCGGAUCGUAAAGCCCUUUCGGCGGGGACGAUGAUGACGGUACCCGCAGAAGAAGCCCCGGCUAACUUCGUGCCAGCAGCCGCGGUAAUACGAAAGGGGCUAGCGUUGCUCGGAAUUACUGGGCGUAAAGGGCGCGUAGGCGGCUUGGUCAGUCAGGCGUGAAAUUCCUGGGCUAAACCUGGGGACUGCGCUUGAUACGGCCAGGCUUGAGGCCGAGAGAGGGUGGUGGAAUUCCCAGUGUAGAGGUGAAAUUCGUAGAUAUUGGGAAGAACACCGGUGGCGAAGGCGACCACCUGGCUCGGUACUGACGCUGAGGCGCGACAGCGUGGGGAGCAAACAGGAUUAGAUACCC